Myotis myotis is the source of this 299-nucleotide long non-coding RNA. RefSeq lists it as uncharacterized. The transcript has 3 exons. The record is from RefSeq and is a predicted model, not a curated record. Lineage: Eukaryota; Metazoa; Chordata; Mammalia; Chiroptera; Vespertilionidae.
GCGUUAGUCCCAGAUCCAAUGUGAAUGAGCUGCGUGACUUGGAGAAGGCAUUUCCUUGUCUGGGCCUCGGUUCUCCCACGAAUCUAAGGUCCUCAAAGGCAGGGCAUCUCUGUCUAUAUUCCUGCACUUGAUAAAAAAUUACCAAUCCGUCAGACGCUCAGAAGUCGCUGUGCUGGAAAAAGCAACUGGAGGGAGGCAGCUACCCAGGCCAGGAGGUGGCCACACCAGCUCCGCCUGAGGGACGGAGACAUGCCCAGGAGCCUCCCCCAUCACUGUUCAUCUGUGUGGCCUAAAAUAAA